Molecule: ribosomal RNA, 403 nt
Filed under: uncultured bacterium
Lineage: Bacteria
Description: partial 16S ribosomal RNA
Rfam family: Bacterial small subunit ribosomal RNA
Source: RNAcentral
GACGAACGCUGGCGGCGUGCUUAACACAUGCAAGUCGAACGAGCGGCGGACGGGUGAGUAAUGUAUGGGGACUGCCCGAUAGAGGGGGAUAACUACUGGAAACGGUGGCUAAUAACGCAUACUAUCGGAUAACCCAUAUGGGAUUAACUAGUAGGGUGGGUAAAGGCCCACCGAUGCGACGAUCGCUAGCUGGUCUGAGAGGAUGAUAAGCCACACUGGUACUGAGACACGGCCCAGACUCCUACGGAGGCAGCAGUGGGGAAUAUUGCACAAUGGGCGCAAGCCUGAUGCAGCCAUGCCGCGUGUAUGAAGAAGGCCUUAGGUUUGUAAAGUACUUUCAGCGGGGAGGCGUUACCCGCAGAAGAAGCACCGGCUAACUCCGUGCCAGCAGCCGCGGUAAUUG